UCCGUAGGGGGCAAGCGUUGUCCGGAUUUAUUGGGCGUAAAGAGCGUGUAGGCGGCCAUACAGGUCAGCUGUGAAAACUCGAGGCUCAACCUCGAGACGCCGGUGGAAACCAUCAGGCUAGAGUCCGGAAGAGGAGAGUGGAAUUCCUGGUGUAGCGGUGAAAUGCGCAGAUAUCAGGAAGAACACCCGUGGCUAAGGCGGCUCUCUAGUACGGUACUGACGCUGAGACGCGAAAGCGUGGGGAGCGAACAGG
This 253-nucleotide ribosomal RNA is filed under the name uncultured bacterium. RNAcentral's name for it is "partial 16S ribosomal RNA". It matches the Rfam family "Bacterial small subunit ribosomal RNA", at positions 524 to 776 of the family's 1533-position model. The record is from RNAcentral.